Molecule: ribosomal RNA, 780 nt
Filed under: Neocallimastix frontalis
Lineage: Eukaryota; Fungi; Neocallimastigomycota; Neocallimastigomycetes; Neocallimastigales; Neocallimastigaceae
Description: partial large subunit ribosomal RNA
Rfam family: Eukaryotic large subunit ribosomal RNA
Source: RNAcentral
GCAUAUCAAUAAGCGGAGGAAAAGAAACUAACAAGGAUUCCCUUAGUAACGGCGAGUGAAGCGGGAAGAGCUCAAAUUUGAAAUCUUCAAGGUUCUACCUUGACGAAUUGUAGUUUAAAGAAGUGUUUUCUGUUAGAUGAGUAGCAAAAGUUCCUUGGAAUGGGACAUCAUAGAGGGUGAGAAUCCCGUAUUUGGUUAUUCAUUCUAGCUUUGUGAUACACUUUCAAAGAGUAGGAUUGUUUGGGAAUGCAGUCCAAAAUGGGUGGUAAAUUUCAUCUAAAGCUAAAUAUUGGCGAGAGACCGAUAGCGAACAAGUACCGUGAGGGAAAGAUGAAAAGAACUUUGAAAAGAGAGUUAAACAGUACGUGAAAUUGUCAAAAGGGAAGCGUUUGACACCAGUGUUGUUUUUCCGAAAAUCAAUUACGAAUGGCUUGAUUUUGUGUUGUAUUGACCUUAUCAGCUUUCUUCACUUCUUUCGAGUCUUUCUUAAUGCACUUUUCGGUUAACAAGUCAACAUCAAUUUCUUUUGUUGUAAAAGAGUAUUCGGAAGGUGGCUUUCUUUUCGGAGAAAGUGUUUAUAGCCCUAUACUUCUACAAUCGGAGAGAUUGAGGUCUGCAGCGUAGAUCCUUCGGGGUUAGAUACACUUGUACUAAGUUGUAGCUUUUCAUAGACAACUUGUUGACUAUGUUUAGUCAUGCGGCUUACUCGCUUGUGCUAUUUUACCUACGCUUAGGAUGUUGACAAAAUGGUUUUAAACGACCCGUCUUGAAACACGGACC